CUUUGAAUAUGUUUAUUUUCUAAAAAAAUCACAACAAAAUAUUAAUGUUUCACUUGUUACACCAUUUAGAAACACUUUUCUUACACACUUGUCAUAUCAUAAUAAUUCAAUAUUAAACAAAGAAUUAUGACAUUUCACUAUUAUGUUAAUUUUAAACAAUUCUAACAUAUAUCAAUAUCAUAUAGUAUAGUUCAUACUGUAAUAUCACUAUAAUUGUAUAACAAGAACAUUGGUUUUUUAACGCAACAUGCGACACGCCCUACUCGCACAAGUCGCACGCGAUCCACCUGUCUCGAUCGAUCCUCGUCUCGACGCACACUGGCGCCCGAUCCCGGCGGUUCAAUCGAUUCUCGUUCGACUCGGGACACGUGACCCUACGUUGCCCUUCCCCAGUCUACCUGUGCGUGAGUCAAGCAUCGGACUUUCGACAAAUUUCCGUUUCGAUCGAAUCAGAAAUCUCUAACAAAGCUGUUCCCAGCAACAUACAUUCAGGCCAGUGAUUCCGGAUGGAAGCCCGAUGAAACGACAAAACCGGUCUAUCAACCGAGCCAGGUUCGUGCAGGUCCAGUUCAAUUUCAGCACCGAAGGAUUCGUCGUGCACCGAUCAAAGUCCACGAGGAGCAGUUGCACGAUGGUGGUGGUGGCAACGUGUGCGAGUAGGAGUAGCGUGAAGAGAGGGAGGGGGAGGUCCAGUCCUCACCACCCGCACUUACCAGCCGGACAAUAAAGAAAGGAAAGGGAGAGGCGAACAGCCGGUAAGGAGGAACAGAGAUACAUUAAAAGUCAUCCGACUCGUAUAGCCGACAGACCAGUGUGUUGUUCGUAUGGAAAGAUGACCCCAGAGAUGGGACUAGUAUUCGCUGGGACCCCAGACUGAAUUAAACGCUACCAUUAGUUGGAAUGAUGAAGAGAGGAAACACGGAUGUCGUGAAUAUUUCGUCAUUGGCACAUUAAUCUCUUUUUUGCUCGUUGAGCGUUUAGUUUUGAUACAUGGAGAUUAACCUACUUUUGGGUCGAGGAAUUUAUAGAAGAGUAAAAAAAUAUUUUGAAGAUUGGAUUCAAAGUUCCAGGUCUUCAAAAACACGCAGACGACCCUGAAGAAGAAUUGAAUGGUACAGAACAGACAAUGAAUCUACAUUCGUGGAGCACGCUUGCAUAUAGUGAAGGUUCGUUCCAGCUGACCAGGGUCGACCAUUGUCAUGUUAAUGAAUAGAAGACACAUUUUCGAGGUUGAAAAUUGCGCUUGUUCACGGAUUUCGUUCUAUGUAAUUAUCUUAUACCUGAACAUCAUUACGUAUAAUGCAAACUGACUUGAAGAUAUACAGAAGAUAUACAUGAAAAUAAUGAAAUAAGAUGCAACUUUAUAUCAAAUUUAAUUUUAAAACGUAUAUUAGAUUGAAUGUUUGACUUAAUGGGUAUUAUUAAAAUUCUUAAUUUUUAUACAAAUUAAUUAAAAUAAUUAAAAAUAGAAGAACAAAAUAUGAUAUUUUGAACGCUUUUAG
Long non-coding RNA from Apis mellifera (honey bee), 1502 nucleotides. RefSeq lists it as uncharacterized. Lineage: Eukaryota; Metazoa; Arthropoda; Insecta; Hymenoptera; Apidae. The record is from RefSeq and is a predicted model, not a curated record. The transcript is spliced from 4 exons.